ACUAUAGUGAUGAGAAUCAAACAGUGCAUAGUUCAACUGAUUUCUUUAAAGUGAAGAUAAACAAAAACAUCGAAUAUAGUCUUUCGCUCCUAUCUGAACUGUACA
RNAcentral lists this small nucleolar RNA (105 nucleotides) under Huiozyma naganishii CBS 8797. RNAcentral describes it as "Kazachstania naganishii CBS 8797 Small nucleolar RNA snR60/Z15/Z230/Z193/J17". It matches the Rfam family "Small nucleolar RNA snR60/Z15/Z230/Z193/J17". Rfam says of the family: The members of this family belong to the C/D class of snoRNAs which contain the C (UGAUGA) and D (CUGA) box motifs. Most of the members of the box C/D family function in directing site-specific 2'-O-methylation of substrate RNAs. Lineage: Eukaryota; Fungi; Ascomycota; Saccharomycetes; Saccharomycetales; Saccharomycetaceae. The record is from Rfam by way of RNAcentral.